This 254-nucleotide ribosomal RNA is filed under the name uncultured bacterium. RNAcentral describes it as "partial small subunit ribosomal RNA". It matches the Rfam family "Bacterial small subunit ribosomal RNA", at positions 26 to 285 of the family's 1533-position model. The record is from RNAcentral.
AGGACGAACGCUGGCGGCGUGCUUAACACAUGCAAGUCGAGCGGAAAGGCCCUUCGGGGUACUCGAGCGGCGAACGGGUGAGUAACACGUGAGCAACCUGCCCUUAGCUUCGGGAUAGCUCCGGGAAACCGGAAUUAAUACCGAAUAUGAUUUUUGCUGACAUCAGCAGAAGUUGGAAAGUUUUUCGGCUAGGGAUGGACUCGCGGCCUAUCAGCUAGUUGGUGAGGUAACGGCCCACAAGGCGACGACGGGUA